Molecule: ribosomal RNA, 253 nt
Filed under: uncultured bacterium
Lineage: Bacteria
Description: partial 16S ribosomal RNA
Rfam family: Bacterial small subunit ribosomal RNA
Source: RNAcentral
UACGUAGGCAGCGAGCGUUGUUCGGAAUUACUGGGCGUAAAGAGUGUGUAGGCGGUGCUCUAAGUCUGUCGUGAAAUCUCCCGGCUUAACUGGGAGGGUGCGGCGGAAACUGGAGUGCUAGAGGGUGGGAGAGGAAAGCGGAAUUCCUGGUGUAGCGGUGAAAUGCGUAGAUAUCAGGAGGAACACCUGCGGUGUAGACAGCUUUCUGGACCACUUCUGACGCUGAGACACGAAAGCGUGGGUAGCAAACAGG